UACAGAGGUCUCAAGCGUUGUUCGGAUUCAUUGGGCGUAAAGGGUGCGUAGGCGGCGCGGUAAGUCGGGUGUGAAAUCUCGGAGCUUAACUCCGAAACUGCAUUCGAUACUGCCGUGCUUGAGGACUGGAGAGGAGAUUGGAAUUUACGGUGUAGCAGUGAAAUGCGUAGAUAUCGUAAGGAAGACCAGUGGCGAAGGCGAAUCUCUGGACAGUUACUGACACUGAGGCACGAAGGCCAGGGGAGCAAAGCGGG
Molecule: ribosomal RNA, 254 nt
Filed under: uncultured bacterium
Lineage: Bacteria
Description: partial 16S ribosomal RNA
Rfam family: Bacterial small subunit ribosomal RNA
Source: RNAcentral